AUUGAACGCUGGCGGCAUGCCUUACACAUGCAAGUCGAACGGUAACGGGUCCUUCGGGAUGCCGACGAGUGGCGAACGGGUGAGUAAUAUAUCGGAACGUGCCCAGUAGUGGGGGAUAACUGCUCGAAAGACCAGCUAAUACCGCAUACGACCUGCGGGGGAAAGGGGGGGAUCGGAAGACCUAUCGCUAGUGGAGCGGCCGAUAUCAGAUUAGCUGGUUGGUGGGUUAAAGGCCUACCAAGGCAACGAUCUGUAGUUGGUCUGAGAGGACGACCAGCCACACUGGGACUGAGACACGGCCCAGACUCCUACGGGAGGCAGCAGUGGGGAAUUUUGGACAAUGGGCGCAAGGCUGAUCCAGCAAUGCCGCGUGCAGGAAGAAGGCCUUCGGGUUGUAAACUGCUUUUGUCAGGGAAGAAAUCUUCUGGGCUAAUACCCCGGGAGGAUGACGGUACCUGAAGAAUAAGCACCGGCUAACUACGUGCCAGCCGCCGCGGUAA
Molecule: ribosomal RNA, 500 nt
Filed under: uncultured bacterium
Lineage: Bacteria
Description: partial 16S ribosomal RNA
Rfam family: Bacterial small subunit ribosomal RNA
Source: RNAcentral